GGCUGCGAUCAUAGUAGGUUGAAUGCACCGCAUAGCGUCAGAACUGCGAAGUUAUGUGACGUUAGGCCGAGUAAGCACCAUGGUUGCAAACAACAUGUAAACCCACGGUGCCAUAAACU
This 119-nucleotide ribosomal RNA is filed under the name Trichuris muris. The record is from RNAcentral. Lineage: Eukaryota; Metazoa; Nematoda; Enoplea; Trichinellida; Trichuridae.